UACGUAGGGACCAAGCGUUGUCCGGAAUCAUUGGGCGUAAAGAGCGUGUAGGCGGCUUGUUAAGUCUUGCGUGAAAUCUCGGGGCUCAACCCCGAGCGGUCGUGAGAAACUGGCAGGCUAGAGUGCGGGAGAGGAGAGUGGAAUUCCUGGUGUAGCGGUGAAAUGCGCAGAUAUCAGGAAGAACACCCGUGGCGAAGGCGGUUACCUGGAGCUUUGCUGACGCUGAUGCGCGAAAGCGUGGGGGGCGAUCCGG
RNAcentral lists this ribosomal RNA (253 nucleotides) under uncultured bacterium. RNAcentral describes it as "partial 16S ribosomal RNA". It matches the Rfam family "Bacterial small subunit ribosomal RNA", at positions 524 to 776 of the family's 1533-position model. The record is from RNAcentral.